This is a non-coding RNA of Podarcis lilfordi (Lilford's wall lizard), 76 nucleotides long. The record is from the annotation of a GenBank genome assembly. NCBI's taxonomy places the organism in Eukaryota, Metazoa, Chordata, Lepidosauria, Squamata, Lacertidae.
GGCUCUCCAUCGCUCAGUGGUUAGAGCAUCUGCUUUGCAUGCAGAAGGUCCUGGGUUCAAGUCCUCUGCAUUGCCA